Molecule: unclassified non-coding RNA, 675 nt
Filed under: Hevea brasiliensis (rubber tree)
Lineage: Eukaryota; Viridiplantae; Streptophyta; Magnoliopsida; Malpighiales; Euphorbiaceae
Source: RNAcentral
CAAAAAAGGCCAAAAAUAAUUUACAACUAGAAAUCAACUCUUUGAAGCCAGCGCAUAAUCAUCUUAAACUAUUAAUUAUCACAAGAAUGAUUAGUGAUUGCAGGGAAAGACAACUGCAACAAUUAGGCUAAUGCAUUUUCUGCAUGGGCAAGGGAUGAAUAUACUUACUGCCAAACUAAAAGGAGAAAAAGAGAUGGCUACAGGUUCAAACAAAACAGGUUAGGGAAAGGAAGACAAGCCUUAAAAUCUUACUGAUGUGAGCAAGACCAAAGCUAAAAUGGUUCCACUGGUAUUACGACCAAAUCCAUGCUAACAAAAAACACUUGACCCAGAAUAACUAAUAAAUGUGAAAACACCACAAAAGAUUCUUCAACUAUUUAAAAAAAGAUGCCAUAUCAUAUGAUUGCAAGGACAAUUCCAACCAACCAAUAAUGUCCUCAAGCAAGGACAAAAAUACAUGCACAUAAUACAUUUUUCUGCAUCAGAAUGUGGACACUUAAUUUUGUUCAUCAAUAUUUGUUUCUAUAAAAAAGACGGUUAAUGAUGCCUUGAAACUUAAAGGCACAAUACAUUUCAUCUUAUAGAGCAAGAAGUUAAAAACUUUUUAUGUUUUUUAUGUUAAAUUUAGAUAGAAAACAGUGAGAAUCAAACCUCAUCAUUAAGGCCUCCAGAUCC